CCCACAAAAUAUGUUCUUACAUUGCGAGAUACUAUAAAAGCCAUCAGUAAAAACGAUUGUCAUAUACCGUAUGUGAGCGCUCUAAGCAAGUAUGGACGUUACGAAGAAGUGCUUCAUGGCGCUUUUGUGCGUUUUGAUUCCAUGCCAUGGACACAUUGCCUUGAUUCAGUCUCUCAAGAUAACAGACUCGUCUGCUCCAGUUUUAAUGUCUAGAGACACGUGCGCCUUGUCUGACCUAGUGAAGCAAACUGGCGGUAACAUCAUCUUCUGUGAUAUUACCGAUGGCUCAACUGUCCCGAACAGCCGCUGGUGUGACACCACAAGCCAGGCAGAAAGCGGGCAUAAUACCCGCCUGACGUACUGGUGUGAAGACGGCGUCUGGCGGAUAGAAGUUGGGACUGGCAUUGACGUAGACAAAGGUUCUGUUCGAAACAAGCGGGCUAGCAUUGCUAAUGUCGCUGCCGGUUUCCAAAUUGCAAGCGCUGUUGCUAACCUUCGCUUCAGUCGGGGUUUCAAUUGCUUGUAUGUUCACAACGUGUAAUAAGGGUGCACAAGAAAGCAGACCAGCACCUCCAACGUUUGAAACGUGUCCCCCGGUUGAAAUUAAUGCCCAGACUUUCUACUAUGCGCCUCGAGGACAGAGUUCAGCGAUAGUGGUUUGGACUGAGCCUAAGGGUACAGGGACAGAGGUUCAGAGUUCAUUGUCUUGCUGCGGUAACUAUAAGAGUGGAGAUUCUUUCCUUGGCUCAUUUUCUGGUACAAACUACUUUAUGGCGUACACAGUAAAGGACAAACACGGGCAGAAGGAUUUUUGCUCGUUUACAUUCAGCGUUU
Long non-coding RNA from Dreissena polymorpha, 834 nucleotides. RefSeq lists it as uncharacterized. Lineage: Eukaryota; Metazoa; Mollusca; Bivalvia; Myida; Dreissenidae. The transcript has 5 exons. The record is from RefSeq and is a predicted model, not a curated record.